This 682-nucleotide ribosomal RNA is filed under the name Zygnema sp. 1 AS-2014. RNAcentral describes it as "SSU rRNA". It matches the Rfam family "Eukaryotic small subunit ribosomal RNA", at positions 593 to 1290 of the family's 1831-position model. Lineage: Eukaryota; Viridiplantae; Streptophyta; Zygnematophyceae; Zygnematales; Zygnemataceae. The record is from RNAcentral.
CCAAUAGCGUAUAUUUAAGUUGUUGCAGUUAAAAAGCUCGUAGUUGGAUUUUGGGUUGGAGCGGUCGGUCUGCCUCUUUGGUUGAACUGGCCUCUGCAUCCUUCUUGCCGGGGACGCGUUCUGGCCUUCAUUGGCUGGGAGGCGGGUUCGGCGAUGUUACUUUGAAAAAAUUAGAGUGUUCAAAGCAGGCCUUUGCUCUGAAUACAUUAGCAUGGAAUAACGUGAUAGGACUCUGGUUCUAUUGUGUUGGUCUUCGGGACCGGAGUAAUGAUUAAGAGGGACAGUUGGGGGCAUUCGUAUUUCAUUGUCAGAGGUGAAAUUCUUGGAUUUAUGAAAGACGAACUUCUGCGAAAGCAUUUGCCAAGGAUGUUUUCAUUAAUCAAGAACGAAAGUUGGGGGCUCGAAGACGAUCAGAUACCGUCCUAGUCUCAACCAUAAACGAUGCCGACUAGGGAUUGGCGGAAGUUCUAUUGAUGACUUCGCCAGCACCUUAUGAGAAAUCAAAGUUUUUGGGUUCCGGGGGGAGUAUGGUCGCAAGGCUGAAACUUAAAGGAAUUGACGGAAGGGCACCACCAGGUGUGGAGCCUGCGGCUUAAUUUGACUCAACACGGGGAAACUUACCAGGUCCAGACAUGGCAAGGAUUGACMGAUUGAGAGCUCUUUCUUGAUUCUAUGGGUGGUG